This is a non-coding RNA of Hyphomicrobium sp. SCN 65-11, 290 nucleotides long. The record is from Rfam. NCBI's taxonomy places the organism in Bacteria, Pseudomonadati, Pseudomonadota, Alphaproteobacteria, Hyphomicrobiales, Hyphomicrobiaceae.
CAUCCUCGAUCUGCUGCGGGCAGAUGAAGUGAAUGUGCGUGUCGAAGCCGCCGGCCGUCAGGAUCUUGCCCUCGCCCGCAAUGAUCUCGGUGCCCGGGCCGAUGAUGAUGUCGACGCCCGGCUGGAUGUCGGGAUUGCCAGCCUUGCCGAUCUUGAGGAUGCGGCCGCCUUUGAUCGCGACAUCCGCUUUGACGAUCCCCCAGUGGUCGAGGAUCAACGCGUUCGUGAUGACGGUGUCGGCGGCGCCGGCGGCGUUCGUUACCUGGGAUUGGCCCAUGCCGUCGCGGAUG